This 542-nucleotide long non-coding RNA is filed under the name Phoenix dactylifera (date palm). Its description in RNAcentral is "long non-coding RNA (PDAC_LNC018852)". Lineage: Eukaryota; Viridiplantae; Streptophyta; Magnoliopsida; Arecales; Arecaceae. The record is from RNAcentral.
UAAAGGCACAAGUUUAAUUAGGUAUUUCCAGAAUUCACGCACUAGGGAACUCUCUCAAAAAAAUCAGUGGCCUUCCAGCAUUAAAAUGUGUUUAAACAUGCUAGUGGAGAAAUUCUUAUACUAUUCUAAGGAUUAAACAGUAGAAAAACUUGAAAUAAUAAGAAGGUGAAAGAUAUAAAGGGUGCAUACCAGGGUCUGAUGAACUGUGCCAAACAGGCGAGUUUGGAGCAUGCCAAACCGGACAACUCAGUUACCGGCAUGAUUCAAAAGCUCGAAACAUGUUAUACAACCUUUCCCUUGGUCAGUCCAUCUUUGAGACCCUCGUUUGAAGCCUCCGUCCCCUCUGUUUGAAGCCAGAGAAAGAAGAGAAGCCAUGUUCGAAGCCAGAGAAAGGUUCGAAGCCUUGUUCGAAUCCUCCCUCCCCCUUCGAAACCCUCAGUCCCCAUCAAGCCUGUUUGAAGCCCUUAGUCGCCGUCGAUGACGACGAUGUACCAUCUGGCAAUCUAGGUGAGUCUCUCUCCCUCACUCUCCCCUCCCCUCUC